RNAcentral lists this ribosomal RNA (3776 nucleotides) under Candidatus Phelpsiimicrobium noxiivivens. Its description in RNAcentral is "bacterial LSU rRNA". The stretch from base 8 to 2762 matches the Rfam family "Bacterial large subunit ribosomal RNA". Lineage: Bacteria; Pseudomonadati; Candidatus Omnitrophota. The record is from RNAcentral.
AAUUUUUGGUCAAGCUACAAAGAGUCUAUGAGGAAUGACUUGGUCAAUUAAGGCGAAGAAGGACGUGGUAAGCGGCGAUACGCCCGGAGGAGCUGCAAACAAGCUUUGAUUCCGGGAUGUCCGAAUGGGGCAACCCAUCCCGAGUAAUGUUGGGAUAUCCCGUAUUAAAUUAAAUAGGUGCGGGAAGCGAAACCGGGGGAAGUGAAACAUCUCAGUACCCUGAGGAAGAGAAACCGAAAGGUAUUCCCUUAGUAGCGGCGAGCGAAGCGGGAAGAGCCUAAAUUUCGAUGACGCAAUAGCCUGUGCGCGUUGUCAUCGGAACGUUGUGGGACUGUUUAGAUACCUGUACAGAGGCAUCGGGAAGUAAAAAAAUCUCUAUUCAGCAGAAAGAUUUGGAAAAGUCUGCCAAAGAAGGUGAAAGCCCGGUAUGCGAAAAAUAGAGAUCUUCCUUGAACGGUAUCCCGAGUACUACGGAGCACGCGAAAUUCCGUAGGAAUCCGCCCUGACCACAGGGCAAGGCUAAAUACUCUAAUUGGACCGAUAGUGCACAAGUACCGUGAGGGAAAGUUGAAAAGAACCCCAGUGAGGGGAGUGAAAUAGAACCUGAAUUCAUAGACUUACAAGCGGUCGGAGCCCUAUGUCACGCGCAAGCGUGGAACGGGUGACGGCGUGCCUUUUGCAUAAUGAACCGGCGAGUUAUACAGAUAAGCAAGCUUAAUCCUCUUUAGGGGAGGAGGCGUAGGGAAACCGAGUCUGAAUAGGGCGAUUAGUUUGUCUGUAUAGACCCGAAGCUGAGUGAUCUACCCAUGACCAGUGCGAAGUGUACCGAAAGGUACAUGGAGGUACGAACCCAUGAAUGUUGAAAAAUUCCGGGAUGAGUUGUGGGUCGGAGUGAAAGGCUAAUCAAACUCAGGAAUUGCUGGUUCUCCUCGAAACGUCUUUAGGGACGGCCUUGAGUAAAUGAGCGAUGAGUGUAGAGUGCUGAAUGGGCUAGGGACCCCACCAGGUUGCCAAACCCAACCAAACUCCGAAAAUCAUCGUUUCUUAUCUCGGGAGACAGACAGUGCGGGCUAAGCUGCAUUGUCAAAAGGGAGACAGCCCAGACCGCCAGUUAAGGUCCCAAAGGAUAGGCUAAGUGGUAAAGGAUGUGGGGUAACAUAGACAACCAGGAUGUUGGCUCAGAGGCAGCCAUCAUUUAAAGAGUGCGUAACAGCUCACUGGUCGAGUUAUUCUGCGCCUAAGAUAAUCGGGGCUCAAGCCUAUUACCGAAACUGCGGAUUUACCCCGCCUUAGGGCGGGGCAAGUGGUAGAGGAGCGUACUGUUGUAGGUUGAAGGUGGACCGAGAGGACCACUCGACGAAGCAGUAGUGAUUAUGUCGGUAUGAGUAGCGCAAAUCACGGCGAGAAACCGUGACGCCGAAAGUCUAAGGUUUCCUGGGGAAGGUUAAUCCGCCCAGGGUGAGUCGAUCCUAAGCCGAGGCUGUUGAACGCGUAGGCGAUGGAUAUCCGGUUAAUAUCCCGGAACUGGUCAAAGGCGCUAUUACUUUGAUGUUGACGCAGGAGGUUGGGGUCAGCGGACUGUUGGAUGUGUCCGUCUAAGCCUGUAGUUUUAUCCGCAAGGGUAAGAUGAGGGGUGAAUGCGAAGCCGAUCUACGGAAAGGCUGAAGUGAUCUUAGGCCACACUGUCGAGAAAAUUCAUCAAAGGAGCCUUUGUCCAAUCGUACCGCAAUCCGACACAGGUAGACUUCCAUAAUAUGGUAAGGCGAUCGAGAGAACCCUCGUUAAGGAACUCGGCAAUCUAGCCUCGUAAGUUCGCAAGAAGAGGUGCCCUAAUGUGUGUAGCCCAUACGGGUGAAGCAUGAUAGGGUUUCAAUGAAGUGGCUCUGGUGACUGUUUAGCAAAAACCAAGCACUCUGCUAACUCGAAAGAGGACGUAUAGGGUGUGACACCUGCCCGGUGCUGGAAGGUUAAGGAGAGAGGUUAGCCCGUCGUAAGGCGAGUCGAAGCUUCGAACCGAAGCCCCAGUAAACGGCGGCCGUAACUAUAACGGUCCUAAGGUAGCGAAAUUCCUUGUGGGGUAAGUUCCCACGCGCACGAAUGGUGUAACAACUGGAGCGCUGUCUCAACGAGGGACUCGGCGAAAUUGUGGUGACAGUGAAGACGCUGUCUACCCGCACUUGGACGAAAAGACCCCGGAACCUUUACUCUACUCUGGUAUUGAAUUUUGAUCCGAUAUGUGUAGGAUAGGUGGGAGACUUUGAAGCCUGGGCGCUAGCUCGGGCAGAGUCGUCGGUGAAAUACCACCCUUAUUUUAUUAAGAUUCUAACCCCUUGCCGUGAAUCCGGCAGGGGAACAGUGCCAGACGGGGAGUUUGACUGGGGCGGUUUCCUCCUAAAAGAUAACGGCGGAGCCCAAUGCUAACCUCAAGACGGUCGGCAAUCGUCUGUCGAGUGUAAAGGCAUAUGGUUGGUUAACUGUGAUCCCGACAGGGAGAACAGGUGCGAAAGCAGGGCUUAAUGAUCCGGUACUUGUUUGUGGGAAUGGUAUCGCUCAACGAAUAAAAGGUACUCUGGGGAUAACAGGCUUAUCGCGCUCGAGAGUUCAUAUCGACAGCGCGGUUUGGCACCUCGAUGUCGGCUCAUCCUAUCCUGGGGCUGGAGAAGGUCCCAAGGGUCCGGCUGUUCGCCGGUUAAAAGGGUACGUGAGUUGGGUUCAGAACGUCGUGAGACAGUAAGACCAUUGCUGUCUAUAAACUUGGCUAAAUGCUGGAAAAUCUGAGUAUAUCAUAUUACUAUUUGAUGUUUCUGUCCUUAUAUUGCGAGAUGGAUAGAGAGAUCGGAAGUGAAAAGAUAUGAUUGCAGACAAUCAGCAGGAAAGACCAGGAGAAUCACUAUCGUUCUAUAUCGCGGGUUUUGUUGAUGGAGAGGGUAGUUUUCAUGUAGCGGUUCAGAAAAGCGAAAAUGUGAGGCUUGGUUGGCAAGUGAUACCUGAGUUUCAUGUGUCGCAGAAUCAUGAACGGACUGUUACACUAGAGAUUAUCCGUAAAGUUUUAGAUUGCGGCUAUAUAAAGCCUAAUCAUAAAACUAGAGAAAACGAUCGAACAGAUGUUUUGGUUGUUCGUAAUCAUCAAGACCUCAAAGAUAAAGUAAUCCCAUUUUUUAGACGGUAUAAAUUAUUAUCCUCUAAAAAUGGUGAUUUUGAGAAAUUUGCUGUGAUAGUUGAAUUUAUGGAUCAAGGCAAGCAUCUUGAAACGUCAGGUUUAAAAAAUAUCCUGAAGAUCGCUUUUUCAAUGAAUGGUAACGGCAGAUAUGGAAAAUUAUUGUUUAAUGAUAUUGUGAGUUCUUUGGUUUCCUCAGAGACUAUACGCCAGGCUUCGAGAAAAAUAUCGGAGAAGAUAUAGUCCGAACUGCAUAGCGAUAUGCAGAGCUCAACAGAAAUGUUUGAGCCUUUCGUAAUAUGCGGAAGUAACAAAAUUGUCGGUCUCUAUCCAGUGUGGGCGUUAGGAAGUUUGAAGGGAGUUGUCCUUAGUACGAGAGGACCAGGACAAACGAACCUCUGGUGUUCCAGCUGUCCUGCCAAGGGCAAAGGCUGGGUAGUCAUGUUCGGAAGAGAUAAGCGCUGAAGGCAUAUAAGCGCCAAGCUCGCCUUAAGAAUAGACUUCCCUCUUGUAGCAAUACAAGAAUAGACACCCGGAAGACUACCGGGUUGAUAGGUCCUAAGUGUAAGACCCGUAAGGGUUUCAGCUUAAAGGAUACUAAUUGUCAAUCGGCUUGACC